RNAcentral lists this ribosomal RNA (1405 nucleotides) under Plantibacter flavus. Its description in RNAcentral is "bacterial SSU rRNA". It matches the Rfam family "Bacterial small subunit ribosomal RNA". Lineage: Bacteria; Bacillati; Actinomycetota; Actinomycetes; Micrococcales; Microbacteriaceae. The record is from RNAcentral.
GGCUUACACAUGCAAGUCGAACGAUGAAGCCCAGCUUGCUGGGUGGAUUAGUGGCGAACGGGUGAGUAACACGUGAGUAACCUGCCCUUGACUCUGGGAUAAGCGUUGGAAACGACGUCUAAUACCGGAUACGAGCUUCCACCGCAUGGUGAGUUGCUGGAAAGAAUUUUGGUCAAGGAUGGACUCGCGGCCUAUCAGCUUGUUGGUGAGGUAAUGGCUCACCAAGGCGACGACGGGUAGCCGGCCUGAGAGGGUGACCGGCCACACUGGGACUGAGACACGGCCCAGACUCCUACGGGAGGCAGCAGUGGGGAAUAUUGCACAAUGGGCGAAAGCCUGAUGCAGCAACGCCGCGUGAGGGACGACGGCCUUCGGGUUGUAAACCUCUUUUAGCAGGGAAGAAGCGAAAGUGACGGUACCUGCAGAAAAAGCACCGGCUAACUACGUGCCAGCAGCCGCGGUAAUACGUAGGGUGCAAGCGUUGUCCGGAAUUAUUGGGCGUAAAGAGCUCGUAGGCGGUUUGUCGCGUCUGCUGUGAAAUCCCGAGGCUCAACCUCGGGUCUGCAGUGGGUACGGGCAGACUAGAGUGCGGUAGGGGAGAUUGGAAUUCCUGGUGUAGCGGUGGAAUGCGCAGAUAUCAGGAGGAACACCGAUGGCGAAGGCAGAUCUCUGGGCCGCUACUGACGCUGAGGAGCGAAAGGGUGGGGAGCAAACAGGCUUAGAUACCCUGGUAGUCCACCCCGUAAACGUUGGGCGCUAGAUGUGGGGACCAUUCCACGGUUUCCGUGUCGUAGCUAACGCAUUAAGCGCCCCGCCUGGGGAGUACGGCCGCAAGGCUAAAACUCAAAGGAAUUGACGGGGGCCCGCACAAGCGGCGGAGCAUGCGGAUUAAUUCGAUGCAACGCGAAGAACCUUACCAAGGCUUGACAUAUACGAGAACGGGCCAGAAAUGGUCAACUCUUUGGACACUCGUAAACAGGUGGUGCAUGGUUGUCGUCAGCUCGUGUCGUGAGAUGUUGGGUUAAGUCCCGCAACGAGCGCAACCCUCGUUCUAUGUUGCCAGCACGUAAUGGUGGGAACUCAUGGGAUACUGCCGGGGUCAACUCGGAGGAAGGUGGGGACGACGUCAAAUCAUCAUGCCCCUUAUGUCUUGGGCUUCACGCAUGCUACAAUGGCCAGUACAAAGGGCUGCAAUACCGUAAGGUGGAGCGAAUCCCAAAAAGCUGGUCCCAGUUCGGAUUGAGGUCUGCAACUCGACCUCAUGAAGUCGGAGUCGCUAGUAAUCGCAGAUCAGCAACGCUGCGGUGAAUACGUUCCCGGGCCUUGUACACACCGCCCGUCAAGUCAUGAAAGUCGGUAACACCCGAAGCCAGUGGCCUAACCGCAAGGAUGGAGCUUCUAAGUG